AGUAAUACAGCGAUAAAAGAGUAGUAACUUUCAAGUCAAUUAGUUAGAGAGAUUCCGGUAGCUGAAAAGGGAUUCUAGUUGAGAAAGUGAAUUCACUUUUGGAGUGAGACUAAUCCUCUCCGCUAACGCCCGUUAAGCGUAAUCAAGUUGCGUAUGAAAAGCAUACGAAACAGGAUGGUACCGCGUAUACUUACGUUCCUGAA
RNAcentral lists this non-coding RNA (203 nucleotides) under Bulleidia extructa. Its description in RNAcentral is "T-box sequence". It matches the Rfam family "T-box leader". Rfam says of the family: Uncharged tRNA acts as the effector for transcription antitermination of genes in the T-box leader family. The record is from RNAcentral. Lineage: Bacteria; Bacillati; Bacillota; Erysipelotrichia; Erysipelotrichales; Erysipelotrichaceae.